AUCCAGCUGACGAGUCCCAAAUAGGACGAAAGGUGCGUCCUGGAU
Non-coding RNA from Schistosoma haematobium, 45 nucleotides. Lineage: Eukaryota; Metazoa; Platyhelminthes; Trematoda; Strigeidida; Schistosomatidae. The record is from Rfam.